Non-coding RNA from Python bivittatus (Burmese python), 1781 nucleotides. The record is from RefSeq and is a predicted model, not a curated record. Lineage: Eukaryota; Metazoa; Chordata; Lepidosauria; Squamata; Pythonidae.
CUGUGGAUUUUUGAUUUUCCUCUGUUUUUCUCUGUUCUAGGAAGCCUUAGAUCAUGGCAGGGAAAGGGGGACUUUAUGCAUGUGAGGAUCCAGCCUCCUGGAAGGCCAUUUUGAAUAUUUACCAGGAUGUGGUUGCAGCUGUGGGAAGCAAGAAAAAGAAACUCAUUGCCUUGGAUCAAUGGUACCAAGAGGAGUUGCCUGGGGUUCUUGCAGGGCGCGAGGAGAAAUACUUGACGAAAGAGGAAUUGCUGAGACUCAUGGAGUGGAAGGUUACAAGGGGCAAAUUUCGGCCCCGCUUGCAGGAGCUGGUGGCCGUGAAUUCGAGUGAGAUGGUGGAGGAGCAUACCAGAAAAGCUUUCCAUCGGCUCCCUGACGUAGAGGCUGCCGUGAAGGAGUUGAACCAACUGAAGGGGGUCGGACCCGCAACAGCUUCAGCUGUUCUUGCCGCCGGAGCACCCGAAAUUGUGGCAUUCAUGGCCGACGAAGCGAUGGAAUCCCUCCCGGGCCUCGUUCCUCUUCAGUACACCCUCAGACAUUAUCUGCUUUAUCUGGACGGGAUUCGGAGCUGUGCGAAGAAACUGAACCAAGGUAGCGCCACGGGAACGUGGACAGCUCACCUUGUGGAAAAAUGCCUCUGGGCCUGGACUUGGGCUGAAAAGCUGCAUUUGCCCAUCUUGAGGAUUGCAGACCCAGGUGGGAACCAAGCAGGUGAUGGCAAAGAAGAAGACAGACCCAGGAAGAAACAGAGAACCAAAUGAAUGCUUCCUGGGUGCUGCAACAGGGAUCAACACCUGCUCCUUGGCACGUGAAUGCCAGAACUGAACAACACACCCAAGGGAAGUUUGCUCACUUUGGGACCAACCACACCAGAACACAGCAACCAGCACAGCACCGUUUUCUCAAAAACAGAAGGUGGGGGUUGUAGGACAUAGAGUGUUAGAAACCCUGUCUGACCUUCUUUCAAACCAUCAACAGAGAUCGGUCCCAACGUUCCUCUCUAAUCAUACUGAAAUGGAAUAUUCUCUUAGAAACAGCCUUACCUUACCUGCCCGUCUACGGAUAGGUUGGAUCCCCCCUUCCCUUGCCUGCUGGAGGAUUAUGGGAGGGGAACUCCAUUAGAUCUAGAGUCCAGUUGGUUGAUAUUAGGAGUUGAAUAUGUAAUGGGACGUACCAGCUGACCUAGAUGGAGAUGUGGGUUUCACAGCUCGUUUCUCUUGCUUCAAAUGGAUUUUCCUCAAGAUCCAAACAUGGAUCAAGAAUUCAAGAGUUGGGUUGAGUUUUCAAAAGGCGUGGGAGCAAAGAGGGGGCUUGGUGAUUUUCCCUUGACUUGAAUCGUCUGGAGCAGGGUUGAGAAACCCUGGUCUGGAGUGACAUGGUGCUUGUUAUCACUAGAGGGAGCCCCUGUCUAAACAUGUCCUCCAACACCAACACUUCCUAAAUCCUGUCCACUUUCCUACCUGGCUGAUCUGUGGAAACUUUGCUCUGUUAUAAAGAUAUUCAGAUGCCGUGAUGUUUCUAUACCUACAAAGAUCAAAAUCGUGCAAGCCAUGGCAUUCCCUGUGACGCUCCCUGGAAGCCAAAGAGGAAACACCUUUGAACUUUGGUGUUGAGAAGACUCCUGAAGAUACCAUGAACAAGCAAGAAAACUAAUGGACCAUCGAACAAAACAACCGAGAGUUCUCAAUCAAGGCACUAAUGACUAGACUCAAAUUAUUCUACUUCAGGCACAUUAUGGGAAGACCCAGCUCUCUGGAGAAGGCUCUGAUGCUGGGAAAGGUGGA